AUCAUGACCUGAGCCAAGUCAGACGCUUAACUGACUGAGCCACCCAGGUUCCUCUCCCUUGGGCUUAUGUCCCGAGAAGCCUCUGAACCCAAUUAGCCUUGCUUUCCUUCACCUUUGCUUCUUCAGGACUUUUCAGAAUUUCUCAAGCAUUAAGGUGCAUAUUGGAUGUACUUGCUGACCCGUUUGUGGUUGUAGAGACCAUGUUACAAGUGCUGGCCGGAAUGAUGAUAAGAGAAGUCUCUGAAUGACUGAUGAACAGAAGCCCUCUGCCCCACUGAUAGACCUGUCACAUAAACAUUAAAAACAAAGGCAGCUGGUGGAAGCCAUUGGACUGCAGGACCUGCUACUUGAAGCACAACACCACAGGAGGCUUUUUUUCUGUCUCUGACAAUCAGGAUUAGUGCAAAAAGAGGUUUGAUAAGACUAAACAGUCCAAAGAUUUGACAGUCCUGACACCUGGCAUAUGAAAGAUGGAAUUCCUGAAUGGAAAUUAUUCUUAUUGAACUUCUCUGAAGAGUUUGGCUGGAAAGAAGUAUCUUUUCCAACGCCAGUACAUUCUCGGCGCUCCUUCAACUGGCUGAAAAAUGAGCUUUACGGUCAGGGUGGGUCUCUUGGAAAGAUGCCUGCUGAAAUGGUGAUUACUUAUUUUUCCUGAUGUUUUCUUGGCACACGGAACAACUUUGAAAACCAACUGAUGAAUAUAAUUAGGUGUAUAUUGAAGAGACCCAUUCUGCCAUUCAGCAGUGGCUCCUUUCAGGAGGCAGUAAGAUGAAUACGGACAGCUCUACCCUUACGCACUCUCGAUUCCUGAGGAAAAGAACAUGCUCUUCCUAUUGUCUAUGUCAGAAUUUCUGGAUUCUGAUUAGCCUGAUUUGUCUUGCACCAAUCCCGUUCCCAGGGCAUGAAAUACUUGGAUUGUCCAAGCCAGGGUCACGUUCCCAACCUGGAGGCCAGGUUCCAGAUUACUGGGUUAUUAAAAAAGGAUAAAAAAAAAAAAACCCAGUGAAGAAUUAUACAGGGCCAGGUCCCCAACAAAGGAGCUUCUGUCCACACGGAGUUUGGGGCCUGGCCAGUGGCACAUGGCAGCGUUCUGGUUUGCCAACCUGGAAACUCCCAAAUCCCAUACUACUGGGAUUUUUAUGGAGGUCUUCUCAGAUUCUUGCUGCUCAUUCAGUGUGGACCCAGUCUCCUGAUGACAAUGAUGGCCCACGGAUGUAAACUCACCUGUCAGCAGUAUUUUCAUGACCAUUUUGUAAAAUUAGAGCACUGUCCAGAAUAAUAAAUGAAAUUCAGGGAAAUGGGAAAACCAAAACCUGACAUGAUCCAUCCAGAAUGUACUUCCUGCCUUUUGAACACCAAGUAAAUUUUCUUUGGAGACUCUUCUUAAGUGUCCAUCUCAAUUAAACCUUCAUGGCCCUCCUUCAAGACAGAGUUAGAGACGCGUCCCUCUGUACUCUCAUUUGAGCACUGAGCCAAUUACAAAGCAGGAGCUGUUAUCUCGAUCCACUACUCAUGUGCUAUGAAGAGUUCUCAUUGGCCUUUGCUUGUUAAGAACCAACUCAUUCUGAUAGGUGCCUAUGGAAACAGGGAGCUGCUGUUGCCUGUUGGGACCUCGUUUGAUAAUGUUCAGCUGUGAACGCUCAACAUUUAACCUGCUGGAAGUCUCAAUAAAUGUAUAUUAACUGUUGACUGACUAUACUAAAUGAAUAAAUGAAGUUUGUUCGUGUAUCAACAGUGCUGUGUUUUCUUCCGUGUCACAGCCACCAGCAGUUUGGAGAACGGGGAAGGCUGAACUGUAUUAAUAUCAACAAACGUGGUUUGCCCCUGAUUAUACUUGUGACCUUGUGCAGGGGACUUCCCUCUCUAGACCCUGCUUUUCUCCUCUGUAGAGUGAGGGAAUUAAACCAGGUAAUCUCCAGAGUCCCUUCCUACUAUUCCAUCCAGUGAUUUGUGUGUGAUGUAGCACGUGUUCUGAUAUUUCUUACAAUAUUCGGGGCCAGCCGACUAACCACUCACUCCUUAAAGACUACACGAGCUGAGAGUUUAAUAGGUAAGUAGAAAAGAAUGCAAAAGUAAGGGUUUUCUCCUAUUCACAGCCUGAGCGGCUUUUUAGUUUAUAUUUCCCGUGGCUAAGAGAGUAAAGAGUGGAACUAAGAGCAUCAGAAAAUAUUUUUUGUGAGCACAGGACAAUAUUUUAUUUAGAUCGGUUAAUGGGAUAAUGGUUGGUUUUAUUCACAGGAAGGAAUAUGCUUUUCAUAUUCAUAAGGUAUUAGUGACUCCAGACCCAUUUAAUUUCUACACAUCUGUUAAGUACAGAAAAAGGAAACCUAAUGAUCUAACAGAAAAACACACUUAAGGCUAACAUUUGGUUCCCAGACCUAUCAUUCUCUUUGCCAAAAUGAAGUUACUGAAGCUUUCAUAGUAAUUGUUGUGACUGAGCAGAGCAAAGGGACUCAUGUACAUUCAUGCUGGUAUGUAUACACAUGUAUUUGCACCUCACAAGCCCAUAUUAGAACUUGCUAUUUAUUUCCUGAAUGAAGCUUAAAUUAAAUAGUGAUACUCGGCAUUGUUGCUGAGAAAUGGAUUCACAAUGUGUUCUUGUUUAAAACAGAGACAAUGAGUAGACAGCGACACAAGCACAUUAAAUUACUCUGCCCCAAUUUAUUUUUUAGAGCAGUUCUUGCUGAAAGGUCUUUCAGGAAGACAAGAACAUUCAGGAAGUAACCCUUAGUCUCUGUGGACGAAUGUGUUUAUUGACAGCAUGCUUGGUGAGAGGUGUACAGACUCUGGUCUUAAAGCCCCUGUUCCAGCUUUAUUUCCUUCUUGGUGAAGCUUCCUCAGUUUCCUCAUCUGGAACAUAGGGUUCAUAUAGUAUGGCUGUGAGGAUCAGAUGGGAAAACAAUGUGGCUGCAGAAAGAAACAGUGGAAAAGAGCACAGAGAGGUCACUGUUAAGUCGAAACCAAAAACAGUUACUCCGUUACUGUUUUUAUUUUUCACAAAUUGCAUAAUCGCCUUGGCUGUCAGUAGCAAAUGUGAAAAUUACCUUGUCAUAGAGGCUCACAGUGUUCCUUUCUCCACACUAUAACAUAAUUGUCAUUAUAAUUUUACCACCACCAACAGCCAGGGUAGCUGUCCCUAUCCUCACCUCCGUGACACCUCCGUGUGACAGCAUACACCUGUGUGGCUUAUGCAUGAAAUUAGCUACACAAAUUGUGGAAUACAUGUACAGCUUAACUUGUUUUGCAAUAAUCUAAACAUUGCAAAUGUUAAGUGAAAAUCAAACCAAAGAUGAAAUAUGGGUGCCAUUUUUUGGUGACAUGUAUCACAUUUCUGAUUAGUCUUCCAAUUUUAACAUCUCUACUUCUGACUUAGUAAAAACUUGGUAACGUGUGCAUUGUAGGAGAAAGUGGUCAUUCGCUCCCAUCCACCUUUGUACUACUGCUCCACGAUGAUGCUACCUAGCCAGGAUAAACCCACCGUGGGAUGACAAAAGCAAUAUGGACCACCAAGAAAGGAAAUCACCAUAUUCCAGACUCUUUGCUGGUACCCUUUACCAGACAUACACCAUCAGCAGCCAGUUCUGUGAAUCUCGCGGUUGGUGAAUCCUGCUGGUGAGGCUCCCCGCCUCCUCUGCCUAGAUUCCUUGGUAUCAAAAGCGCCUUCUGCGGCUUUACCUGUUGAACUUCUCUGAAGAAAAAAGUUCUUCCUCAUACCAUUGACACGUUUGUGGUUCCAGAGAAACGAAAUCUAAGCAUACAGCAAUGUAAGAAUCCAAAGUGGUAGAAGAUAAAUACCAGAGACAAAAUGGAUCCCAGGACCUCCUAUCUGGACUGUAGCAUUAUUUUGUGUAUUCCUUUAUUUGAAGAAGGGAAAUCUGCCUUCAUGAAGAAAAUGUACUGGUCGCAAAGAGUUGGACUGUUUUGAUCUUGCACGGCAAAGUUCUCACUACAAAUUCAUUAACUGAGUGGAUUCCUAAGUGGCUUGAGUACAGUGAAUUUUUCAUCCUAUGUACAAAAAAAAAAAAAUUGCAACAGAAAGCAAUACAGCCAAGUAUUGAGGAAUGAGGGAAUUUGGUGAUUGGCCACUAGUGACUGGCAAACUGGGACAGCAGGAUCUUGAGUUUCCAACAGUGAGUCUCAUAGUUCAGACAUUCAGAGCCACACUAAACCUUCAGAUCUGUAUGCUGACUGAGAAAGUACAGAUGUGAUUGGAGCAUCAUUAUCCUAACUGCCAGCAGAAUUCUGAUAAGGUAUUGCUAGGCCAAUCAUUUGCCUCCCUGUCUUCUUGAUUUAAUUCAUUAUUCUUCGAUCGAUAGCAAAAUACAGCGAAAGAAACUUAUUUAUUAUUUCCUAUCUAAUAACCUCACCCAUUUCUACAAAGAACUGGAAAUUUGUAUUAAAUUACUGCUCUCUGUUUAGAACAAUUAAAGCCAACAUAAAAUUUCUCAGGACCUAGAAUGGGGUGUCAUCCUUUUGAUGCAGGUGUUACUCCAAAAUUCUUAGUCAAUCAUUUGAUAAUGACACUUUAGUCUUAUUUUUUUUAUCAGCUGUCAUUUAAUCAUUUUCUAAUCUAUAUUUUGUUCUCACUAUUACUGAAUGUUUCCUUUUACUUUCCAUCUAAACUUCUCUGAAGAAUGGUCAACUAUCCUCAUUUACCAUUCACUCUUAACUUUCUGUAGAUUUUUCUUCACCUAGCAGCUCAGCUGACAUUGUUCCCAUUUACAGUACCAUCUUCCUCAUUGUCUGUCCCAGUGGUAAUCUGUUGCACUGAGCAUAUUAUAGUAUUCACUCCUUCUUCAAAUGACAUUUCUUGGAAUGACUCUUGGAUAUCUAUAUUCCUCACUCCCUUUUUCUUACCUUUCUCCUUUGGAUACCUGUUUUCUUCCACCAACCUUAAAUUUUGAAGUUCCCCAGGAUUUUAUUAUCUUUUCACUAAUUUCUCUACUAUGUCCUUUCUCUGGUUGAUAAUUUUCAUUCACACACACACACACACACACACACACACACACCAGCCAGAAUUCCUCUGGUAAGGAACAGCAACAAUCUUUUUAUCCAGCUGCAUCCUGCACAUAUCCAUUUGGCUUUCACAUAAAUAACUCAAGCUCAACAUGUGCAAAGUUGAACUUUCCCACUGACGUUUCUACUCUCAGUGUUCACUAACUCUUAUGGUUGUACCACCAGUUUUAGAAACAAGAGUUUCUAGUACUUGCACAUUCUCUCCCCAUCCUCCUACUUCCAAUCAAUCUUAUAGUCUUGACAUUUUUAUAUCUGAAGUAUUUAUUCAGUGUCUUCAUUUCUCCCCCAUCCCAACCACAACUUUCCUAGAUUGACUUAAAUCAUAUUUUUCUUAGAUGGCUAAAACUACCUCCAAUAUGGUUUUCUGCCUCCAAUAUAUUUUUUUAAUUCAUCCCCUCUCUUGUAGUCAGCAUAAUCUAAAACUAAAAAAACCUGAUCCUAAUAUACCCUAUUUAAUAGCCAUUAAUGUAUCUGUGGAGCUUAUGGUCAAACAAGGUACAAGCACCUACAUAUAUAGCAUAUUUAAGUACUUAAAAUUUGGAGCUUGGUUUAAUUUCUGUGUAAGAGAAAAACUAAAAAUGAUAUUAAAGUGGCUUCUAUAAGGGAGAGUUGUAUUUCUAUCUCACAUAAAAGAAGUCUUAAGGUAGGACAGAUCCAGGCUGAUACAGAAGUUUCACAAUGUCCUCAAGGACCAAGGAUCCUUUUUUUCUUGCCCUGCCAUGUUUAACACAAAAUUGCCAUUCUCAAGAUCACUUUAUGAUUCAAGAUGAUUGCUGGAACCAUACUACCUGUUCUAGGCAGCAGAAAGAGAAGAUAGAAAGUGGAGAACAAAAAGCAUCUCAAACAACUUCUAAGGAUUUUUUUCUUCAAAGUGACACACAAUAGUAAUAGGGGAAAAAAUGAGUAUUUUAUAAGAUGGGCUCCAAAUAGAGAGUUAUUCUUAUUUUCUUAUUUAUUAUUUUAUAUUAUUUAUAUUCUAUUAUCUUAUUAUGUUUUAU
Long non-coding RNA from Herpailurus yagouaroundi (jaguarundi), 6014 nucleotides. RefSeq lists it as uncharacterized. The transcript has 16 exons. The record is from RefSeq and is a predicted model, not a curated record. Lineage: Eukaryota; Metazoa; Chordata; Mammalia; Carnivora; Felidae.